CCCAGACUCCUACGGGAGGCAGCAGUGGGGAAUAUUGGGUAAUGGACGCAAGUCUGACCCAGCAACGCCGCGUGAAGGAAGAAGGCUUUCGGGUUGUAAACUUCUUUUAAGGGGGAAGAGCAGAAGACGGUACCCCUUGAAUAAGCCACGGCUAACUACGUGCCAGCAGCCGCGGUAAUACGUAGGUGGCAAGCGUUGUCCGGAUUUACUGGGUGUAAAGGGCGUGCAGCCGGGAAGACAAGUCAGAUGUGAAAUCCCGCGGCUCAACCGCGGAACUGCAUUUGAAACUGUUUUUCUUGAGUACCGGAGAGGUCAUCGGAAUUCCUUGUGUAGCGGUGAAAUGCGUAGAUAUCAGGAGGAACACCGGUGGCGAAGGCGGCCUGCUGGACUGCAACUGACGUUGAGGCCCGAAAGCGUGGGGAGCAAACAGGAUUAGAUACCCUCGUAGUA
RNAcentral lists this ribosomal RNA (450 nucleotides) under uncultured bacterium. RNAcentral describes it as "bacterial SSU rRNA". It matches the Rfam family "Bacterial small subunit ribosomal RNA", at positions 330 to 795 of the family's 1533-position model. The record is from RNAcentral.